RNAcentral lists this ribosomal RNA (206 nucleotides) under uncultured bacterium. RNAcentral's name for it is "partial 16S ribosomal RNA". It matches the Rfam family "Bacterial small subunit ribosomal RNA", at positions 335 to 533 of the family's 1533-position model. The record is from RNAcentral.
ACUCCUACGGGGGCAGCAGUGGGGAAUAUUGGACAAUGGGCGCAAGCCUGAUCCAGCAAUACCGCGUGAGGGAUGAAGGCUUUCGAGUCGUAAACCUCUGUCAGUUGGAACGAUGGGUCUAAAGGUUAAUACCCUUUAGACUUGACGGUACCUUCAAAGGAAGCCCGCGUAAACUCCGUGCCAGCAGCCGCGGUAAUACGGAGGGG